Molecule: small RNA, 29 nt
Filed under: Bombyx mori (domestic silkworm)
Lineage: Eukaryota; Metazoa; Arthropoda; Insecta; Lepidoptera; Bombycidae
Description: ovarian small RNA-16575
Source: RNAcentral
GCAUUCUUAUUUGUUACGAACGACGCCGU